Kogia breviceps (pygmy sperm whale) is the source of this 180-nucleotide non-coding RNA. Lineage: Eukaryota; Metazoa; Chordata; Mammalia; Artiodactyla; Physeteridae. The record is from RefSeq and is a predicted model, not a curated record.
CUAGUUGCAGGAAAACAAGCUCAGGGCUCCCACUGAUUCUGCAUUAUGGAGCUGUUUUUGUGCUGUUUGGCCCCUUUCUACCUGGAAUGGAACAAAGACUAAUGCCUUGUGGGAGCGGAUAAGUCAUAGACGCUGAAGAAGCAACUGCCAUUCUUCUGAAAUACCCAGAGACAGGCAAGA